RNAcentral lists this ribosomal RNA (606 nucleotides) under Triticum aestivum (bread wheat). RNAcentral's name for it is "partial small subunit ribosomal RNA". The record is from RNAcentral. Lineage: Eukaryota; Viridiplantae; Streptophyta; Magnoliopsida; Poales; Poaceae.
AUGUCGAGGCCAAAGGGAUCUUGGGAGGGGUCCGAGACCAGCGAGGAGGACAUUCAGUACCUCUGUGACACCAGGCGGCUGCAGCCGGCGACAGAGAUGCCGGCGCGCGCGGCGGGCGGCGAGAUUGAGAAGCAGCCGCAGGAGGGCGAACGCGUGGUCUUCGCCAGCCACUUCAAGCGCGGGUAUGGCCUCCCCGCGAGCGACUUCUUCCGCGCCUUCCUAAAUUUCUUCGGGCUGCAGCCGCACCAUCUUGGCGCCAACGCCGUGCUGCAGCUCACCGACUUCACCACACUCUGCGAGGGGUACUUGGUCGUGGAGCCGGACGUGGAGCUCUGGAGUCGCCUCUUCUUCCUCAAGCAACAGGGGUCGGGGGCCGGGACCAUGUUCGACUAUGGGGCCGCCAUUAUCUCGGGCCAGCCGCACGGGCCGUUCCCCAAGAUGCCCCUGGAGGAUUCUGCCAACCAGUGGCAGAAUUCAUUCUUCUACAUGCGCAACGUCGGCACGGACCACGUCAACCUGCCGCCGUUCAUCAAUGAGCAGCUGCUCGCCAAGAUGAAUUGGAUUUAUCACCCCAAGAACCCGCUGCAGGCGGUACUGAAUCUCUGA